Molecule: ribosomal RNA, 516 nt
Filed under: Triticum aestivum (bread wheat)
Lineage: Eukaryota; Viridiplantae; Streptophyta; Magnoliopsida; Poales; Poaceae
Description: partial small subunit ribosomal RNA
Source: RNAcentral
AUGAAACUCGUAAGCUGGAACUGCCGGGGACUCGGGAACGGCCCGGCAGUUCAAUCUCUUCUCGAGCUGGGAAGAACGGAGGAGCCCGACAUUUUAUUUCUGUGUGAGACUAGAAUGAAGGAGAAGGAUUUGGGAAGGUUUAGGUGGUUGUUGGGGCUCGCCAACAUGGUUGCGUGGAAGGAUGAAGGGAGUGGAAGAGGGGUGGCGUUGUUCUGGAGGAAGGGAUUCGAUGUCACUCUACGUUCAUAUGGGAGGAGGCAUGUAGAUGUAGAUGUGGUCAGGGAGGAUGGAACGAUAUGGCGCCUUACCGGGGUGUACGGAGAAUCUGAAUUGCAGAGGAAGAUAGAAAAAUGGAAGCUUCUGAAAAUUCUCAAUCAGCAACAUCAAGGACAAAGGCCGUGGUUGUGUUUUGGGGACUUCAGCGAAAUUCUAGCAAGCAAUGAGAAGGUGGGGGUGCAGAACGGCCACAGCAGUACCUUAAUGCGUCCAGGGAGGCGUUAUACUAUUGCAACUUGA